UGUAAUUUUGUAGUAAUUAAAUGC
This 24-nucleotide non-coding RNA is filed under the name Arabidopsis thaliana (thale cress). Lineage: Eukaryota; Viridiplantae; Streptophyta; Magnoliopsida; Brassicales; Brassicaceae. The record is from RNAcentral.